CAAUACUUGUCGGAGUGCCAAAGGCUGAGAUCGCGUAAGCGGGAUCCGUAAAACCUGAUCAGAUUAAUAUCUGCGUAGGAAACAAGAGAGAGUAAUUU
Molecule: regulatory RNA element, 98 nt
Organism: Colwellia sp. MT41
Lineage: Bacteria; Pseudomonadati; Pseudomonadota; Gammaproteobacteria; Alteromonadales; Colwelliaceae
Rfam family: TPP riboswitch aptamer (THI element)
About the family: Vitamin B(1) in its active form thiamin pyrophosphate (TPP) is an essential coenzyme that is synthesised by coupling of pyrimidine and thiazole moieties in bacteria. The previously detected thiamin-regulatory element, thi box was extended, resulting in a new, highly conserved RNA secondary structure, the THI element, which is widely distributed in eubacteria and also occurs in some archaea.
Source: Rfam